Molecule: ribosomal RNA, 516 nt
Filed under: uncultured fungus
Lineage: Eukaryota; Fungi
Description: SSU rRNA
Rfam family: Eukaryotic small subunit ribosomal RNA
Source: RNAcentral
AUAAAAAACCAAUGCCCUCUGGGCUCCUUGGUGAUUCAUAAUAACUUAACGAAUCGCAUGGCCUUGCGCCGGCGAUGGUUCAUUCAAAUUUCUGCCCUAUCAAUUUUCGAUGGUAGAGUAGUGGUCUACCAUGAUCUUAACGGGUAACGGGGAAUUAGGGUUCUAUUCCGGAGAAGGAACCUGAGAAACGGCUACUACAUCCAAGGAAGGCAGCAGGCGCGCAAAUUACCCAAUGCUAAUUCAGCGAGGUAGUGACAAUAAAUACUGAUACGGGGCUCUUUCGGGUCUCGUAAUUGGAAUGAGUACAAUCUAAAUCCCUUAACGAGGAACAAUUGGAGGGCAAGUCUGGUGCCAGCAGCCGCGGUAAUUCCAGCUCCAAUAGCGUAUAUUAAAGUUGUUGCCGUUAAAAAGCUCGUAGUUGAACCUUGGACCUGGCUGAUCUGUCCUCCUAAUCGAGCGCACGGAUUCGGUCGGGUCUUUCCUUCUGGGGAGCCCUAUGCCCUUCACUGGGUGUAG